GCUGGCGGCAGGCCUAACACAUGCAAGUCGAGCGGUAGCACAGAGAGCUUGCUCUCGGGUGACGAGCGGCGGACGGGUGAGUAAUGUCUGGGAAACUGCCUGAUGGAGGGGGAUAACUACUGGAAACGGUAGCUAAUACCGCAUAACGUCGCAAGACCAAAGUGGGGGACCUUCGGGCCUCAUGCCAUCAGAUGUGCCCAGAUGGGAUUAGCUAGUAGGUGGGGUAACGGCUCACCUAGGCGACGAUCCCUAGCUGGUCUGAGAGGAUGACCAGCCACACUGGAACUGAGACACGGUCCAGACUCCUACGGGAGGCAGCAGUGGGGAAUAUUGCACAAUGGGCGCAAGCCUGAUGCAGCCAUGCCGCGUGUGUGAAGAAGGCCUUCGGGUUGUAAAGCACUUUCAGCGGGGAGGAAGGCGUUAAGGUUAAUAACCUUGGCGAUUGACGUUACCCGCAGAAGAAGCACCGGCUAACUCCGUGCCAGCAGCCGCGGUAAUACGGAGGGUGCAAGCGUUAAUCGGAAUUACUGGGCGUAAAGCGCACGCAGGCGGUCUGUCAAGUCGGAUGUGAAAUCCCCGGGCUCAACCUGGGAACUGCAUUCGAAACUGGCAGGCUAGAGUCUUGUAGAGGGGGGUAGAAUUCCAGGUGUAGCGGUGAAAUGCGUAGAGAUCUGGAGGAAUACCGGUGGCGAAGGCGGCCCCCUGGACAAAGACUGACGCUCAGGUGCGAAAGCGUGGGGAGCAAACAGGAUUAGAUACCCUGGUAGUCCACGCCGUAAACGAUGUCGAUUUGGAGGUUGUGCCCUUGAGGCGUGGCUUCCGGAGCUAACGCGUUAAAUCGACCGCCUGGGGAGUACGGCCGCAAGGUUAAAACUCAAAUGAAUUGACGGGGGCCCGCACAAGCGGUGGAGCAUGUGGUUUAAUUCGAUGCAACGCGAAGAACCUUACCUGGUCUUGACAUCCACAGAACUUAGCAGAGAUGCUUUGGUGCCUUCGGGAACUGUGAGACAGGUGCUGCAUGGCUGUCGUCAGCUCGUGUUGUGAAAUGUUGGGUUAAGUCCCGCAACGAGCGCAACCCUUAUCCUUUGUUGCCAGCGGUCCGGCCGGGAACUCAAAGGAGACUGCCAGUGAUAAACUGGAGGAAGGUGGGGAUGACGUCAAGUCAUCAUGGCCCUUACGACCAGGGCUACACACGUGCUACAAUGGCAUAUACAAAGAGAAGCGACCUCGCGAGAGCAAGCGGACCUCAUAAAGUAUGUCGUAGUCCGGAUUGGAGUCUGCAACUCGACUCCAUGAAGUCGGAAUCGCUAGUAAUCGUAGAUCAGAAUGCUACGGUGAAUACGUUCCCGGGCCUUGUACACACCGCCCGUCACACCAUGGGAGUGGGUUGCAAAAGAAGUAGGUAGCUUAACCUUCGGGAGGGCGCUUACCACUUUGUGAUUCAU
This 1445-nucleotide ribosomal RNA is filed under the name uncultured organism. Its description in RNAcentral is "SSU rRNA". It matches the Rfam family "Bacterial small subunit ribosomal RNA". The record is from RNAcentral.